Molecule: long non-coding RNA, 557 nt
Filed under: Phasianus colchicus (ring-necked pheasant)
Lineage: Eukaryota; Metazoa; Chordata; Aves; Galliformes; Phasianidae
Description: lncRNA (ENSPCLG00000017066.1)
Source: RNAcentral
AGACCUUCAGAUCAACAUCCUUACAAAUCCUGACUGCUUGUCAAAAACACAAUUUGAAAUUACUGGAUUGCCAGAGAGAAGAAACCAGGCUCUCUUGUACUGCUUGCUUCUGUCCCUGUCUGAACAUCUGCUUCUUUGCACUAUGACUCCUGCCUCAGUUCUUCCCCCUCUAGGCACAUUAUCGCUUUCUUUCAGUGAAUAUCCACCUUGGAGAAUUUGAUUUUCUUCAUAGCCACAGCUUUUGCUGGAUGCUGCAGAACCACUGAGAAUGUUGGAGCAACACAGCUGGCAAGCUUUCAGAUUCACGGGGCAAAAUUGGAAAUACAAGUGUUAAAAUUUUGGCUUGCAGAUAAGUCUUGUGUGUUUUCUGCAUAGUAUCACUUAGCAAAAUCCUGAUGUCCGGAAUAAUUGUGCUAGCAGCAGUGCCCUGAGAAGCUGAAGGCUUCCAGUCAUAUUGCAGCACAGCUCAAGAAGCACAUAUAAUUCCAUUGAUUUAACUGGCCACUCUUUGAAUGUCAGUGGGUGUGUUCUAGGGCUGUUAUCUACUUGAAUGCUGC